Molecule: ribosomal RNA, 160 nt
Filed under: Polyporus arcularius
Lineage: Eukaryota; Fungi; Basidiomycota; Agaricomycetes; Polyporales; Polyporaceae
Also listed under: 2 other names
Description: 5.8S rRNA
Rfam family: 5.8S ribosomal RNA
About the family: 5.8S ribosomal RNA (5.8S rRNA) is a component of the large subunit of the eukaryotic ribosome. It is transcribed by RNA polymerase I as part of the 45S precursor that also contains 18S and 28S rRNA.
Source: RNAcentral
ACAACUUUCAGCAACGGAUCUCUUGGCUCUCGCAUCGAUGAAGAACGCAGCGAAAUGCGAUAAGHAAUGHGAAUUGCAGAAUUCAGUGAAUCAUCGAAUCUUUGAACGCACCUUGCGCUCCUUGGUAUUCCGAGGAGCAUGCCUGHUUGAGHGHCAUGAA